This 493-nucleotide ribosomal RNA is filed under the name uncultured bacterium. RNAcentral describes it as "bacterial SSU rRNA". It matches the Rfam family "Bacterial small subunit ribosomal RNA", at positions 27 to 507 of the family's 1533-position model. The record is from RNAcentral.
CGGAUGAACGCUAGCGGCAGGCCUAAUACAUGCAAGUCGUACGGCAACACAGUUGCGAGCAAUCGCAACCGGUGGCGAGUGGCGCACGGGUGAGUAACGCGUAUGUAACCUACCCUUCUCCGGGACAUAACUCCGCGAAAGCGGUGCUAAUAUCCCAUACCAACUCAUCAAGACAUCUUCUUGAGUUGAAAGCAGCAAUGCGGUGAAGGAUGGGCAUGCGUCCAUUAGCUGGUUGGUGAGGUAAUGGCCCACCAAGGCUACGAUGGGUAGGGGUUCUGAGAGGAAAGCCCCCCACACUGGUACUGAGACACGGACCAGACUCCUACGGGAGGCAGCAGUAAGGAAUAUUGGGCAAUGGUCGAAAGACUGACCCAGCCAUGCCGCGUGCAGGAUGAAGGCCCUAUGGGUUGUAAACUGCUUUUAGCCGGGAAUAAACACCCGUUUUAUAACGGGCCCGAAGGUACCGGCUGAAUAAGCAUCGGCUAACUCCGUG